Molecule: ribosomal RNA, 315 nt
Filed under: Triticum aestivum (bread wheat)
Lineage: Eukaryota; Viridiplantae; Streptophyta; Magnoliopsida; Poales; Poaceae
Description: partial small subunit ribosomal RNA
Source: RNAcentral
AUGGAGGCAGCUGCCGCAGCCCGCGAGGUCCCGCGCCUGCCGGAGGAGCUCCUCGCGACGAUCAUCUCCCUCACGUCGCCGCAGGACGCCUGCCGCGCGGCCGCCGUCUCCCGGGCCUUCCUCGCCGCCGCGGACUCCGACACCGUCUGGUCCGGCUUCCUGUCCCGCGACCUCCCGCAGCUCGUCGCCGAGGGCGAGCUCCCCCGCGCGCCGCCGUCCAGGAAGGCCCUGUUCCGGCGCCUCUCUGUCACCCCGGCCCUCCUGCCAUGCAAGCUCGUUGUACGCAUCGAUAACAGACUCCCCGUGCCCUCUUGA